This is a non-coding RNA of Theobroma cacao (cacao), 1063 nucleotides long. The record is from RefSeq and is a predicted model, not a curated record. NCBI's taxonomy places the organism in Eukaryota, Viridiplantae, Streptophyta, Magnoliopsida, Malvales, Malvaceae.
UUCAUCUUGCCAUUAUUUUGCUGCAGCCCAUACUACCUUCUCUUUAAGAUUGUCUCCUUGUGUUAGAACCCUGAAAAUGAAGUUCAUUUGACUUCACUGCAACUGUAUUUUCAGGCAAUUUCACAGUUUAAAGUCUACUAGAAUUUCACAAAGAUAUCGAUGAAAAGGCAGGAGGCCUCUAGGAUAAGCAAGUGUGUUUUGAGCUGGAGGUAGGGGAACUUCCAUCUCUUUUUUACGAAUCCGAAGAAGAACAGCGACGCCAUGAACAAGAAGUUCCAUGAAAGGUUGACCUUUCAGGAGAAAAAAGACAAGGACGUGAUCAUAUGAAGAAGAAGCUGAAGUAGCCAAACUGCAAGGUUAUACAUAGGAAAAUGGAUUUUGGGUAUAAUCAACUCGAUCAAAUUGUAAAUGAAUUGCAAUUUUCUUGUCCUUGCUUUUUGGUUUCCUACAACUUUUGCAAAUAUCCUGUUUAUUUAUCACAGAUUUCACUAUCUUCUCUUAAUUAAUUUGACUUUCUUUACUGAUUUUUUGGGCAUAUAAACAAGCUUCAACAAGCGUUUCCUACGGUCAUGUAAUGUUAUGAUAAUACCAGAAUAAAUUCAACAAGAGUUGGUAUUUCAAUGAUUCAAUCGAUAUUUUCUUGCUUGCCAAACAGCAUGAUGACAUAGCAAUAGGCUAUAUAUGUAUGACCUCAAUCAGAAAUUCAGAUGGAAUUUACUAUAUAUAGAGAGGAGAAAAUCACUUCAUUUAGAUUUAAAAAAUUGAGUAAAUGAACACAGCCUGUACGGUAAGAUAUAUGUUUACGGAAUCUGGGAAACAAUCUUAUUAAUUAUACUAAAUUAAUCGCACUUUGUGUGCAGUCGAGAAAUGCUUGGCUGCAGCUACCAUGGUGGCCUCUGGCCCUGUUGGCGCCGCUGCAACCUUCGUCUUCUUCACAUCUUCAUCUUCAUCAAAUACCGGAAGCCAUGAAAGGAAGAAUAUUGAUCUCAGGAAUGAUGAGGCUCGACUUUCUUUCCUGCCCUUCAUCUUGCUUAAUCAAUAUCUGUGAUAGCUGAUACUACCC